CAUUUGUUAUGCAGGAGUUUCGGGCGGCUGAGGACGGUGGGCGGAGCCGUUGUCAGCAUACUCUGGUUUCUCUUCAGAUCGUAUAAAUCUUUCGCCUUUUACUAAAGAUUUCCGUGGAGAGGAACAAUUCUGAGUCUUAACCUAAUUUUUUGAUGUCCUACGUAUGUGGGACUGCUGUGGUUGGUUCAAAAGCAGAGUAUGGUUGCUGUGUGUGUGCACUUCGUUAGUUUCCUUGUGGAAGGUAACCCUUCUUUGGGUUUUGAAACAAGGGUUGUUUUGUGUAGCAUAGAAGUUGUCUAUACCGCAUGGCGUUGGUGGUGCACGCCUUUAAUCCCAGCACUCGGGAGGUAGAGGCAGGUGAAUCUCUGUGAGUUUGAUUUCUUUCUGGUUUCCAGAGCGAGUGCCAGGAUAAGCUCCAAAGCUACAAAAAGAAACCUUACCUCGGAAAAACAUAAAACAAAAAAGCCUAUACCAGAGACUCAGUUUCUCUUGAGAGCGGGAAAUCAUGGCUGCCACCGCUUUGCUUCCAUAAAUUGCUUGCAAGUUUUCCCUUAGAUAUCUCAAAAUACUUUAUGAUAUGCUCUCUCUCCAGGCAGGCCUGUUGUUGCUACCUGUCUCAGUAUGUCAUACUACUUAGAAGCUGGGUCGCGUAGCAGGCAAGACAGAUUUCUGUGAGUUCCAGGAUAGUCAGGGUUACCUAGAGAGACCCUGUCUCAAAACCCCAAACAGGCAGGCUUAGCUGUCUUAAGUUCUGUAUUAUAAUUUUAUAAGCUCUCUCCUCUUUCCAGCCUCACUUAUUUAUCUAUUUAUUUUUUUAUUGAGACAGGGCUUCUCAGUGUAGCCCUGUCUGUAGACCAGGCCGAUCUUUGUGAGUUCAAGGCCAGCGUGGUCUAUAAAAUCAGUUCCAGGACACGCAAGAGGUACACAGAGAAGUGGCAUCUUGAAAAGUCAACAUACCACUGGGUGGGGUGCUGCAAGCUUUCAUUUAUUUAUAUUUUUAAAUAAUUUAUUUGUAUUUUAUGUGCAUUGGUGUUUGCCUGCAUGUGUCUGUGUGAGGGUGUCAGAUCCCCUGGAACAGGAGUUACAGACAGUUGUGAGCUGCCAUGUGGGUGCUCAGAAUUGAACCCAGGUUUUCUAGAAGACCAAUCAGUGUCUUAACUACUGAGCCAUCUUUCCAAGUGGUGCAUUCCUUUAGUCCUAGCACUCCAGAGUCAGAGAGAUCUCUGUGAGUUCAAGGCCAACCUGAUAUAUAGAGUGAGUUCCAAACAAACAAACAAAAACCCCAACGAAAAAAGGAACAACAGGGAGAGCAGGAGAACCCAAACUAAAUCAAAACUGAAACACAAAACUGAGUUAGCUGGGCUGGGUGGCAAUGGUCUCUUCUUAUUCCAGUCACUGGUGACCGGAGGAAGGAAGUCCAAAGACAUCCUUGUACUCACAGAGAUCCUCCUGCUUUGCCUCCAGAGUGUUGGGAUGAAAGGCAUUUGCCACCACAGGCUGGUUGGAGAUGUUUUAUUAGACACAAGGAGAUGUUAAUGUCUGGCUGGAAUAGUAGGGGUUGAGGAAACAGAACCAAAGCAAAAGGCAG
Molecule: long non-coding RNA, 1588 nt
Filed under: Cricetulus griseus (Chinese hamster)
Lineage: Eukaryota; Metazoa; Chordata; Mammalia; Rodentia; Cricetidae
Description: lncRNA (ENSCGRG00015029337.1)
Rfam family: U5 spliceosomal RNA (bases 58-173)
Source: RNAcentral